AUAAAUUCUGCUCAAUGAAAUUAAUUAAAUAGCCGCAGUAAAUUAACUGUGCUAAGGUAGCAUAAUAAUUAGUUUUUUAAUUAAAAACUAGAAUGAAAGAGAAAAUGAAAAAUUAACUUUUUAAUUAUAAUAAAUAAAUAUAAAUUAAUUUAUAAGUUAAAAAUCUUAUAUAAAAUAAAAAGACAAGAAGACCCUUUAGAAUUUUAUAAAUAAAAAAAUUUAAUAAUUAUAAAUUUGAAUAUUUAUUAAGUUGGGGAGACUAUGAAAUAUUAAAAACUUUCACUUUUUUAAAACAAAAAUAAAUGAAUCUAUAAAUAUCCAGUUAACAGCCGAAUAAAAAACAAAUUACCUAAGGGAUAACAGCGUAAAAUUUCUAAAAAGAUCAAAUUUACAGAAUAAAUUACGACCUCGAUGUUGGAUUAAGAAAAAAUUAUAAAGAAGAAUUUAUAAAAAUUAGGUCUGUUCGACCUUUAAUCUCUU
Molecule: ribosomal RNA, 480 nt
Filed under: Aleyrodes proletella
Lineage: Eukaryota; Metazoa; Arthropoda; Insecta; Hemiptera; Aleyrodidae
Description: partial large subunit ribosomal RNA
Source: RNAcentral